AAGCAUGGCAGCAUGAGUGACCGCGGUAACAGAGUUCUGAGGUCUCCAUAUCUCUUUGCCUUGUGGAUCACUUAGUAUGAACUGGCCAUCAGAGGUAAGUUCAAGUUUGGAUCCUUUAGGAGCCGGGUUAUCUCCAUUUGCAUACCAAACUAAGGUUUUUUCUGGUAUUUUUUCGAACCAGAUAGCAAGCAAGAAGAGACUUUGACUGCCAAGGCGGUAAAACCCAAACGCAAAUUCACCAGAAGGUGAUACACAUCUAGGCGAGUCGUUGGAGGCGGUAAUGUCAAGAUCAGUGCAAUAUUGAGAAAAAACUAAAGAUGGAAGGACAAGAAGAAGCAAGAACCUGGCAGCCAUUGCAGAAGAGCCUUGGUACUACCCUUC
RNAcentral lists this long non-coding RNA (381 nucleotides) under Vitis vinifera (wine grape). RNAcentral's name for it is "long non-coding RNA (VVIN_LNC004416)". Lineage: Eukaryota; Viridiplantae; Streptophyta; Magnoliopsida; Vitales; Vitaceae. The record is from RNAcentral.